RNAcentral lists this long non-coding RNA (2566 nucleotides) under Homo sapiens (human). Its description in RNAcentral is "HSALNT0282778". Lineage: Eukaryota; Metazoa; Chordata; Mammalia; Primates; Hominidae. The record is from RNAcentral.
UGCUACAAGGAAAAAGUAUUAAAAAGUACAUUGCUUUGCUCUGCAAUGAAGAAUACAUAGUCAUAUUAACAGCAGUUUAUUGCUUUUCAACUUUUAGAACCCAACUAUAGACAAACAUAAAAAAACUCAAUUAUGAUUACAGAACAGAAUUUAACAUUAUGUUUUGACAAUAUAAAAGACCAGAUGACAGAAGUUGGGAGGUUAAUGGUGCGGAAGGGGGCUAUAGGAAAGGGUAUUCUCUCAUCUAACAAAGUUCUAGUUUAGAAAUAUUGUCUGUAGUUCAUGGAACAGGAAAUAAAGGCAUUACUCAAUAACCCACAGAAAAACUAAACUAUACUAGAAGCAGGACGGAGUUGAACUUGCUGUAAAUGAUCUAAAUCCUCAUUUCUCAUAGCAGGACAUCAAUGGGUAAUGUCUGAAAGUAAUGAUUUUUUAAAUGCCCACAUAUUAUGUAGGUAUGGAGAUAAAAAUCAGAAUAAAUAACUAAAAGUGGUGGCAAAAAGUGAGAGUGGGGGUGGGGAUGUGUGGGGCAGUAGACUUUUGCUUUUCACGAGUCCGUCUGUAGUGAUUUGACUUUACUGAUUUGAGUUUUCUAAAUAAGGUACAUGGAUUACUUCUAUUUUAAAAUGAGAAAAAAAAUUUUAAAAAGGACACUCCUGCCCACAACCCUCCUCCCCCCAAAUUCCCUUAUCCCUCCAGACCUACUGUAGCAGAAUAUAAUAAAGUUUGGGAAACCCUGCAGUCUCUCUUCCUGCUUCUCCCUUAGGUGAAGCCUCUUUGCUUUAGUCAAAAUGGAAUAUUUGUUAGCCCAAACAGGGCAUAUUUAUUCCCACCUUCUUGUUUUUAUGUCCCCCAGGCCUGGAAAGCCUUUCCUCCUUAUCUCCACCAGUUGGAAUCCUCCCUUUUAAAAAGGCUCACCUCAAAUUCCACCUCCUCCAAAAGUCUUCCUUGUCCCCUGGUAGAACUCUCUCUCCCCUUGGGGGUUCCUACGAGUCUUCAUUUAUGCCUCUGAUUAUGACAAUUAAAUGUACUUUUUUUUUUUUUUUUUUUUUGAGAUGGAGCCUUGCUCUGUCGCCCAGGCUGGAGUGCAGUGGCGUGAUCUUGGCUCACGGCAACCUCCGCCCCCUGGGCUCAAGCAAGUCUUCUGCCUCAGCCUCCCUAAUAACUGGGAUUACAGGCAUGCGGUACCAUGCCCGGCUAAUUUUUGUAUUUUUAGUAGAGACAGAGUUUCGCCAUGUUGGCCAGGCUGGUCUCGAACUCUUGACCUCAGGUGAUCCACCCGCCCUGGCCUCCCAAAGUGCUGGGAUUAUAGGGUGAGCCACUGCGCCUGGCAAAUGUACUUUUUUCAAGUACUGUUUUUUUUUUUUUUUUUUUGAGAUGGAGUCUUACUCUGUUGUCCAGGAUGGAGUGCUGGGUUCAAGCAAUUCUCCCACCUCAGCCUCCCGAGUAGCUAGGAUUACAGGCGCACGCCACCACACCCGGCUAAUUUUUGUUUGUUUUUUUGAGACGAAGUCUCACUCUUGUCCCCCAGGCUGGAGUGCAAUGGCGCAAUCUUGGUUCUCUGCAACCUCUGCCUCUCGGGUUCAAGCGGUUCUCCUGCCUCAGCCUCCCAAGUAGCUGGGAUUACAGGCGCCUUCCACCACACCCAGCUAAUUUUUGUAUUUUUAGUAGAGAUGGGGUUUCACCAUGCUGUCCACGCUGGUCUCGAACUCCAGACGUCAGGUGAUCCACCCACCUCAGCCUCCCAAAGUGCUGGGAUUACAGGCGUGAGCCACCGCGCCUGGCCUAAUUUUUGUAUUUUUAGUAGAGAUGGGGUUUCAGUACGUUGGCCAGACUGGUCUCAAACUCCUGACCUCAGGUGAUCCUCCCGCCUUGGCCUCCCAAAAUGUUGGGAUUACAGGCGUGGGCCACCGCACCCAGCCUGAAGUACAUUCUUUAGGUCAGUGUUUCAUGCCCCCAACCUUCUUUCACCCCAGCUACCAGAGUGGUCCUCCUAAAUACCAAUCUGGCCCGGUUAGUCCCUUGCUUCAAACCUUUCUACAGCUUCCCAUUGCUCAGAGUCAAAGCUAAGCUUGACUGCUUGGAUUCCACCACUUCUCUCACUGCAUGGGUGAUGCCCCAUUCCCCCUGAAAUCCAUGCACUUUCACCCUCUUGAUUUAACUGUGCUUAGGCAGCUCCUCUGCUUGGAAUGUUUUUUCCUCCCUUUCCAAGUGGUAAGCACUCAUUCCUCUUUCAAGACUCAGUUCAAGUGUACCAUCCUCUAUAAAGGCUUUCCCACCCCAGGGAGAACCACCUAAUACUUCCUAUAUGCUCACUUUGCCUCACCUAGACGUCCAUUAUAUCAUCUUCCACACUUAGUGUGCUUAACCACUUACUUAUCUGAGUUCCCAAUUAAGCCAAGAAUUCCUGGAGGGCAUGUAUAUCUAAUUCCCAGAACCUAGCACAGGGCCUGACACAUGACAGGAAUUUAACCUUUUAGAUUCCAAGGAACAAAGACACACACAGGUUAGUGAUGGGGAUUUAUUAAAGCAUUCACAGGGAAAUAAGGAAGACAAGAACAGCUAC